UAGGGAAUCUUCGGCAAUGGACGAAAGUCUGACCGAGCAACGCCGCGUGAGUGAAGAAGGUUUUCGGAUCGUAAAACUCUGUUGUUAGAGAAGAACAAGGACGUUAGUAACUGAACGUCCCCUGACGGUAUCUAACCAGAAAGCCACGGCUAACUACGUGCCAGCAGCCGCGGUAAUACGUAGGUGGCAAGCGUUGUCCGGAUUUAUUGGGCGUAAAGCGAGCGCAGGCGGUUUCUUAAGUCUGAUGUGAAAGCCCCCGGCUCAACCGGGGAGGGUCAUUGGAAGCUGGGAGACUUGAGUGCAGAAGAGGAGAGUGGAAUUCCAUGUGUAGCGGUGAAAUGCGUAGAUAUAUGGAGGAACACCAGUGGCGAAGGCGGCUCUCUGGUCUGUAACUGACGCUGAGGCACGAAAGCGUGGGGAGCAAACAGG
This 429-nucleotide ribosomal RNA is filed under the name Gemmatimonadota bacterium. Its description in RNAcentral is "Gemmatimonadetes bacterium partial 16S ribosomal RNA". It matches the Rfam family "Bacterial small subunit ribosomal RNA", at positions 355 to 776 of the family's 1533-position model. The record is from RNAcentral. Lineage: Bacteria; Pseudomonadati; Gemmatimonadota.